Molecule: transfer RNA, 74 nt
Filed under: Candidatus Jacksonbacteria bacterium RIFOXYA2_FULL_43_12
Lineage: Bacteria; Candidatus Jacksoniibacteriota
Also listed under: 4 other names
Description: tRNA-Lys
Rfam family: tRNA
About the family: Transfer RNA (tRNA) molecules are approximately 80 nucleotides in length.
Source: RNAcentral
GGGUCGCUAGCUCAAUCUGGCAGAGCAACAGCCUUUUAAGCUGGUGGUUCUGGGUUCGAUUCCCAGGCGGCCCA